Coregonus clupeaformis (lake whitefish) is the source of this 796-nucleotide long non-coding RNA. RefSeq lists it as uncharacterized. Lineage: Eukaryota; Metazoa; Chordata; Actinopteri; Salmoniformes; Salmonidae. The transcript is spliced from 3 exons. The record is from RefSeq and is a predicted model, not a curated record.
CUGUGCUACCAUGUGGCUGGAAGAAUUUGUCUGACACCCUUUUUGUCUUCUCGUAAAUAGCCUUUACAAUUAGCAAUUGUACAAUUUAAAGCGUAGGUAGGUGUUGCGAUUCGCCAACUCUUUGUAGUUUUCCAGCUCCAGCAGGAGGCGCCAUAUCCAUACCUGAAAAUCAGCACCCCAGAGCCUGACUGGCAGAGGUCGCUGAGGCACUGUUUCAGCAGGUCUUCCGGCACUAUGGCCUUCCGGAGAAUAUCGUCUCAGACCGUGGUCCCCAAUUCACGUCACGUGUAUGGAGAGCCUUCAUGGAGAAGCUGGGGGUCACGGUCAGCCUCACAUCCAGGUACCGACCUCAGUCCCACGGGCUGAACAGGUGGAGAGGACCAACCAGGAGCUGGGGAGGUUCCUGAGGAGUCACUGUCAGGACCGGAAGAGGAAGUGGGCCCGGUUUCUCCCCUGGGCGGAGUACGCCCAGAACUCACUUCAUCACUCCUCCACCGUGUUGUCUCCCUUCCAGUGCAUCCUGGGGUACCAGCCGGCCCUGGCUCCGUGGACCCACUCCCGCUACCCCUCUCUAGCGCUCAACGUCGCCGGUCUACUAACCACCGGUCCUGGCAUCCCAUCCUGACGCACACCUGGCAACCUUCAUUAUGCCCACCUGCGCCUCAUUAGGCACACCUGGACUUCAUCACUUCCCUGAUUACUUCCCCUUUAUAUAGCACUCUGUUGUGAUCACCCACCAGGCAAUAUUGUUUAUGUUUCCAUGUUUAAAUGCUUUUCUUGUUUUGUAUCGUUCAAU